Molecule: long non-coding RNA, 519 nt
Organism: Talpa occidentalis (Iberian mole)
Lineage: Eukaryota; Metazoa; Chordata; Mammalia; Eulipotyphla; Talpidae
Exons: 3
Source: RefSeq, a predicted model, not a curated record
AUAAAUGUCAUUGAUGCUCCAUUACACACACACAGUCCCAUCUUGAACUUGACAAAGAAUGUGUUGGAGAAGUUAAAUGAAUCCAGCCAGGCUGCCUUCCUUCUUUCACCUACUUAAGACCAACUUCUGAGGCCUAGUUCCUAUGUCUGCAUCCAUUCCUUUCCUAUAACCUGAACUGGAAUGAAGACCCCUUCCGGGAGAACCACCUCCCCCACCACUUCAGUCCUCUGUACAGCAGCAACAUCAGAAGGCCAGCAGUCACCCCAACGAGGAUGCCACAGAGGCCACCUAAACUCCUGCCCCUCUCUCCACCCCACAUCACCUCAAGUGGAAACUGGCUGGGAGGCAAUUCGGAUAAGAGAUAUGGAGGCUGUGAGAUUUCAGAAAAUGAAGUUGUUCCAGAAAUAGUAUAGAUAGAUUCUCGAUCUCUCGCAGAGGUUGCCCCUUGGCCGUCAGGAGUUGGGGUCCUGCUAAGAGAAAGAAGAUGUGAAAGGAGAGAGUGACACACCUGAAGUAUGA